UACAGAGGGGGCCAGCGUUAUUCGGAAUUAUUGGGCGUAAAGCGCGCGUAGGCGGCCACUUAAGUCGGAUGUGAAAGCCCUUGGCUCAACUGAGGAACUGCCUUUGAAACUGCAAGGCCUGAGGCCGGGAGGGGGUAGCGGAAUUCCCAAUGUAGCGGUGAAAUGCGUAGAUAUUGGGAGGAACACCAGUGGCGAAGGCGAGUCUCUGGACAGCAACUGACGCUGAGGCACGAAGGCCAGGGGAGCAAACGGG
Molecule: ribosomal RNA, 253 nt
Filed under: uncultured bacterium
Lineage: Bacteria
Description: partial 16S ribosomal RNA
Rfam family: Bacterial small subunit ribosomal RNA
Source: RNAcentral